RNAcentral lists this transfer RNA (74 nucleotides) under Pseudonocardia sp. C8. RNAcentral describes it as "tRNA-OTHER". The record is from RNAcentral. Lineage: Bacteria; Bacillati; Actinomycetota; Actinomycetes; Pseudonocardiales; Pseudonocardiaceae.
GUCCCCGUAGAACCAACCUCCACCAGGACUCCUUAAAGCGGGUGUCGCAGGUUCGAAUCCUGCCGGGGGCACCA